UGGUACCCGGGUUGAACUUCUAUUUGGAAGGUUGUAAGUUUGAGUCUCAGUAGAGGCGUUAUUGCCUCUUUUUGUAUGUGUUUCAAUAGGUUGAGAACGUAUAUG
Long non-coding RNA from Ipomoea nil (Japanese morning glory), 105 nucleotides. RefSeq lists it as uncharacterized. Lineage: Eukaryota; Viridiplantae; Streptophyta; Magnoliopsida; Solanales; Convolvulaceae. The record is from RefSeq and is a predicted model, not a curated record. The transcript has 3 exons.